UACGUAGGGUGCGAGCGUUGUCCGGAAUUAUUGGGCGUAAAGAGCUCGUAGGCGGUGUGUCACGUCGUUCGUGAAAACCUGCAGCUUAACUGUGGGCGUGCGGUCGAUACGGGCAUCACUGGAGUUCGGCAGGGGAGACUGGAAUUCCUGGUGUAGCGGUGAAAUGCGCAGAUAUCAGGAGGAACACCGGUGGCGAAGGCGGGUCUCUGGACAGUUCCUGACGCUGAGGCACGAAGGUCAGGGGAGCAAACGGG
This 254-nucleotide ribosomal RNA is filed under the name uncultured bacterium. RNAcentral's name for it is "partial 16S ribosomal RNA". It matches the Rfam family "Bacterial small subunit ribosomal RNA", at positions 524 to 776 of the family's 1533-position model. The record is from RNAcentral.